Molecule: non-coding RNA, 46 nt
Organism: Aptenodytes forsteri (emperor penguin)
Lineage: Eukaryota; Metazoa; Chordata; Aves; Sphenisciformes; Spheniscidae
Source: Rfam
UGAAUGGCUCUUCUAGGAGCCACACAAGAUGCUGAUCCAAACCAAG